GCCCCCAUAGCUUAGUGGUAAAGCAGUUGGCUCUUAACCAAUUGAUCAAGGUUCGAUUCCUUGUGGGGGCACAA
This 74-nucleotide transfer RNA is filed under the name Candidatus Harrisonbacteria bacterium CG10_big_fil_rev_8_21_14_0_10_44_23. RNAcentral describes it as "tRNA-Lys". It matches the Rfam family "tRNA". Rfam says of the family: Transfer RNA (tRNA) molecules are approximately 80 nucleotides in length. Lineage: Bacteria; Candidatus Harrisoniibacteriota. The record is from RNAcentral.